Molecule: long non-coding RNA, 1356 nt
Organism: Ruditapes philippinarum (Manila clam)
Lineage: Eukaryota; Metazoa; Mollusca; Bivalvia; Venerida; Veneridae
Exons: 3
Source: RefSeq, a predicted model, not a curated record
UUUAUAUAAAUUACAACUCUGAUUAACCCAUGUCUUAGUAAACAUUCAAAAACGGCCUAAAAAUGUGUAUUUAUAACAAGUUAAUUUCGACAGUAUUUUUAAACUAUGGAACGCCAUUAUCACUUUAAUUAUGACGAAUUACGUAAAAUAAAUUCUGAAUACUUUAAUCAUGUUUUAUUGUUAAAUGUGUAUUCAAGGUUGUUUUUUUGUAUUUUUAAAUAGUUUUAUUAAAAUUGUUUUACAUAUAUAAUGUAUGUAAUGUUAUUAUUAUUUCAGGGGUACCGCUUUGAGGUAGUCUUCAUUGAUGUAUGCUUGAUUUUGAAAAUAAAAAAAAAAAUCUAGUAAACUAUAUGUACACUAAAUGAAUUUCAUCAACACACCAGAGCCAAUGGGUAUGCCCGAUCAUGUGUUCUGAGGACACUGUGAUGUAUACGAGUUAAAGAUGAACUCCUGUCGGAUUUGUUAACGGCUGUUUGAUGAUCAUACAAAGACAGUUAAAGGCAACGAAAAGGAAUGCAAGGGAAUAAAUGCUGCCAGUGAGAAAUAAAAUGACAGUUUAGAACUUGAAUCGGAAUAAUAUAUUCACAUUGAGUGUAGAAAGAUGUACUGUAACCCACAUUACACUAAAAGAGAUACUAAGACAGAAAAAGAAAACACUGAUGCCACCAUUGAGAUCAAUGACUGAUAAGUUUUCAUACAAAAAAGAUUGUUUAUAUUGUGGUCAAUCUUUAAUAAGUAAGGGUAAAACAAGGAAGUGUGAUGUUUCGCCAGUAAGGACACUAGAACCUACUGUUUUAAAUAUGUAUACAGAGGAAUGACUGUUUGUCUGAUACAAUGAGAGCAAGGAUAGAACAGCUUCACGACUUGCUUGUAGUCGAUGCUCUUUACCAUCAAACAUGUUUAUGCUCCUCUAAUUUCAGAACUGGAAAAGAUAUACCAGAAGAAUUUCAGGUGCUACCAUCUAGUGAUAAAAAGUGAAAGAUUGGUCGACCAGAAAUUACAGAAGCGAGUGACGCUUUGUAAAAGUCAUGACAUUCUUGUGCUUAUGCUUAGCGAAGAUAUUUUACAAACUAAAAUUUGCAAAUAUUUUUUUUUUACAUUUUAUGCUCAAAUGUAUCAAUUAUUUGAAAUUGACCUUCCAAAAGGUCAAUGUCACCUCGUUUGACCCAAUGUCAUGAUGUUAUAUAAUGACUCAGAAAAAAAUACAACAGAUGUGCUUGAAAGUUUUCAAGUUAAUAUAAAACUCAAUAUUAUUAUCAUAGAUAAUAUAGAUUUCUUUAAUGUUUCUUUAUUUUGUAUAAAAUUACCCCACCCACUAGCUGUACAAUGUUAAUACAAAUAUUUCAAUAUAUGCAU